RNAcentral lists this ribosomal RNA (253 nucleotides) under uncultured bacterium. RNAcentral describes it as "partial 16S ribosomal RNA". It matches the Rfam family "Bacterial small subunit ribosomal RNA", at positions 524 to 776 of the family's 1533-position model. The record is from RNAcentral.
UACAGAGGGGGCAAGCGUUGUUCGGAAUUACUGGGCGUAAAGGGCGCGUAGGCGGCCUUCUAAGUCGAACGUGAAAUCCCCGGGCUCAACCCGGGAACUGCGUCCGAUACUGGAAGGCUUGAAUCCGGGAGAGGGAUGCGGAAUUCCAGGUGUAGCGGUGAAAUGCGCAGAUAUCAGGAGGAACACCGGUGGCGAAGGCGGGUCUCUGGGCCGAUACUGACGCUGAGGAGCGAAAGCAUGGGUAGCGAACAGG